GCGGUAGUAGCUCAGUGGUAGAGCCCCCGCUUCGCAUGCGGGGAGGCCUGCGAUCGAUUCCCGGCUGUAUCC
This is a transfer RNA of Toxocara canis (dog roundworm), 72 nucleotides long. It matches the Rfam family "tRNA". From Rfam's summary of the family: Transfer RNA (tRNA) molecules are approximately 80 nucleotides in length. Their secondary structure includes four short double-helical elements and three loops (D, anti-codon, and T loops). Further hydrogen bonds mediate the characteristic L-shaped molecular structure. tRNAs have two regions of fundamental functional importance: the anti-codon, which is responsible for specific mRNA codon recognition, and the 3' end, to which the tRNAs corresponding amino acid is attached (by aminoacyl-tRNA synthetases). tRNAs cope with the degeneracy of the genetic code in two manners: having more than one tRNA (with a specific anti-codon) for a particular amino acid; and 'wobble' base-pairing, i.e. permitting non-standard base-pairing at the 3rd anti-codon position. Lineage: Eukaryota; Metazoa; Nematoda; Chromadorea; Rhabditida; Toxocaridae. The record is from Rfam.